This 699-nucleotide ribosomal RNA is filed under the name uncultured bacterium. RNAcentral describes it as "bacterial SSU rRNA". It matches the Rfam family "Bacterial small subunit ribosomal RNA", at positions 790 to 1482 of the family's 1533-position model. The record is from RNAcentral.
GUAGUCCAUGCCGUAAACGUUGGGCACUAGGUGUGGGGGACAUUCCACGUUUUCCGCGCCGUAGCUAACGCAUUAAGUGCCCCGCCUGGGGAGUACGGCCGCAAGGCUAAAACUCAAAGGAAUUGACGGGGGCCCGCACAAGCGGCGGAGCAUGCGGAUUAAUUCGAUGCAACGCGAAGAACCUUACCAAGGCUUGACAUGGGCCGGAUCGCCGCAGAAAUGUGGUUUCCCCUUUGGGGCCGGUUCACAGGUGGUGCAUGGUUGUCGUCAGCUCGUGUCGUGAGAUGUUGGGUUAAGUCCCGCAACGAGCGCAACCCUCGUUCCGUGUUGCCAGCGCGUGAUGGCGGGGACUCAUAGGAGACUGCCGGGGUCAACUCGGAGGAAGGUGGGGACGACGUCAAAUCAUCAUGCCCCUUAUGUCUUGGGCUUCACGCAUGCUACAAUGGCCGGUACAAAGGGUUGCGAUACUGUGAGGUGGAGCUAAUCCCAAAAAGCCGGUCUCAGUUCGGAUUGGGGUCUGCAACUCGACCCCAUGAAGUCGGAGUCGCUAGUAAUCGCAGAUCAGCAACGCUGCGGUGAAUACGUUCCCGGGCCUUGUACACACCGCCCGUCAAGUCACGAAAGUUGGUAACACCCGAAGCCGGUGGCCUAACCCCUUGUGGGAGGGAGCUGUCGAAGGUGGGACUGGCGAUUGGGACU